RNAcentral lists this ribosomal RNA (1517 nucleotides) under Klebsiella quasipneumoniae. RNAcentral describes it as "bacterial SSU rRNA". It matches the Rfam family "Bacterial small subunit ribosomal RNA". Lineage: Bacteria; Pseudomonadati; Pseudomonadota; Gammaproteobacteria; Enterobacterales; Enterobacteriaceae. The record is from RNAcentral.
AGAGUUUGAUCAUGGCUCAGAUUGAACGCUGGCGGCAGGCCUAACACAUGCAAGUCGAGCGGUAGCACAGAGAGCUUGCUCUCGGGUGACGAGCGGCGGACGGGUGAGUAAUGUCUGGGAAACUGCCUGAUGGAGGGGGAUAACUACUGGAAACGGUAGCUAAUACCGCAUAACGUCGCAAGACCAAAGUGGGGGACCUUCGGGCCUCAUGCCAUCAGAUGUGCCCAGAUGGGAUUAGCUAGUAGGUGGGGUAACGGCUCACCUAGGCGACGAUCCCUAGCUGGUCUGAGAGGAUGACCAGCCACACUGGAACUGAGACACGGUCCAGACUCCUACGGGAGGCAGCAGUGGGGAAUAUUGCACAAUGGGCGCAAGCCUGAUGCAGCCAUGCCGCGUGUAUGAAGAAGGCCUUCGGGUUGUAAAGUACUUUCAGCGGGGAGGAAGGCGAUAAGGUUAAUAACCUUGUCGAUUGACGUUACCCGCAGAAGAAGCACCGGCUAACUCCGUGCCAGCAGCCGCGGUAAUACGGAGGGUGCAAGCGUUAAUCGGAAUUACUGGGCGUAAAGCGCACGCAGGCGGUCUGUCAAGUCGGAUGUGAAAUCCCCGGGCUCAACCUGGGAACUGCAUUCGAAACUGGCAGGCUAGAGUCUUGUAGAGGGGGGUAGAAUUCCAGGUGUAGCGGUGAAAUGCGUAGAGAUCUGGAGGAAUACCGGUGGCGAAGGCGGCCCCCUGGACAAAGACUGACGCUCAGGUGCGAAAGCGUGGGGAGCAAACAGGAUUAGAUACCCUGGUAGUCCACGCCGUAAACGAUGUCGAUUUGGAGGUUGUGCCCUUGAGGCGUGGCUUCCGGAGCUAACGCGUUAAAUCGACCGCCUGGGGAGUACGGCCGCAAGGUUAAAACUCAAAUGAAUUGACGGGGGCCCGCACAAGCGGUGGAGCAUGUGGUUUAAUUCGAUGCAACGCGAAGAACCUUACCUGGUCUUGACAUCCACAGAACUUNUUGGUGCCUUCGGGAACUGUGAGACAGGUGCUGCAUGGCUGUCGUCAGCUCGUGUUGUGAAAUGUUGGGUUAAGUCCCGCAACGAGCGCAACCCUUAUCCUUUGUUGCCAGCGGUUCGGCCGGGAACUCAAAGGAGACUGCCAGUGAUAAACUGGAGGAAGGUGGGGAUGACGUCAAGUCAUCAUGGCCCUUACGACCAGGGCUACACACGUGCUACAAUGGCAUAUACAAAGAGAAGCGACCUCGCGAGAGCAAGCGGACCUCAUAAAGUAUGUCGUAGUCCGGAUUGGAGUCUGCAACUCGACUCCAUGAAGUCGGAAUCGCUAGUAAUCGUAGAUCAGAAUGCUACGGUGAAUACGUUCCCGGGCCUUGUACACACCGCCCGUCACACCAUGGGAGUGGGUUGCAAAAGAAGUAGGUAGCUUAACCUUCGGGAGGGCGCUUACCACUUUGUGAUUCAUGACUGGGGUGAAGUCGUAACAAGGUAACCGUAGGGGAACCUGCGGUUGGAUCACCU